RNAcentral lists this ribosomal RNA (101 nucleotides) under Spirochaetaceae bacterium. RNAcentral's name for it is "partial 16S ribosomal RNA". It matches the Rfam family "Bacterial small subunit ribosomal RNA", at positions 1435 to 1533 of the family's 1533-position model. Lineage: Bacteria; Pseudomonadati; Spirochaetota; Spirochaetia; Spirochaetales; Spirochaetaceae. The record is from RNAcentral.
CUAACCUGUAAAGGAGGACGCCGUCGAAGGCGCGUUUAGUGAGGAGGGUGAAGUCGUAACAAGGUAGCCGUACUGGAAAGUGCGGCUGGAUCACCUCCUUU